AGGUAACUGUUACAAAAUGUAAACAAUAUUGACUGCAGCGGAAAAAACAAAACAAAACCAUAAGCGUAACAAAACCAGCUUUUCUUCAGACUUUAGCGUGAUGGUUUAACAAUAUAGCCACUGAGAACGCCGGCCGCCACCCUCCUCCUCUCUAAGUCAGGCCAUAUAUUCUCCUCUCUAUUCAUGGUUUUUUAUUUUUUAUUUUUUUUGUAACCCAUUUUUUUGGCAGCCACCACCACCUCUGCUCUGUCGCUCUUGUGCCCUCCGCCGCCGCCGGUCUAAACAGAGAGUGAGCAAAUGUUAAACCAAGAAAGGAGAUACAUUCAAAUAAUUCUGUUCUGGGCAGAGUUAGAGUUUUAGAUCAACCAACUUUUAUAACAGGGUUGUCUUCUGUGCCUAUUUUCUUUCCUUGAACCUCUUUACUUGCAACAAUAUUUAUAGCUGAGACCUGUGACCGGAGGAGACCCGUGACUGGAGUUGUGACUUGAGAAGGCUGAUGACUGGAGGGUGGACGCCUAAAUGCUGUCUGAAACCGAGGAGGUCGCCAAAAAACAAAAAAAAGAGAUGGGAGAGGAGAGGGAGAGCCGUACGACUAUGAUACCUUAUAAAAUUUCUUGAAGGAAUUCGAAUUACUACUCGAGGGGAGCUCGAAGUUAAGAUGGAGGCAUUCCAGAUUGUGUAUGCACCACUGAGAUGCUUGGCACUUGAAGACUUCCAUAAAAGUGGAGAGAGUUGGUUCACAAGUUCUUAGGAACAAAUGAGAAUGGAGUUUUUAUAUUGUUUUUGUGUUGAAGUGCUUGUGAUGACUGGUAUCUCUAGUUGAUUUGCUUCUGUCUGGGCAAGGUCCCAUAAAUGUAAGUCAAGAGUAAUAUUCUUGGCUGAACAAUGUAAAUAUCUCAUGGUGUUCUUUAUGUUAGUUUGCAGACUUUGUAUUUUUAA
This is a long non-coding RNA of Humulus lupulus (European hop), 939 nucleotides long. RefSeq lists it as uncharacterized. Lineage: Eukaryota; Viridiplantae; Streptophyta; Magnoliopsida; Rosales; Cannabaceae. The record is from RefSeq and is a predicted model, not a curated record. The transcript has 5 exons.